RNAcentral lists this ribosomal RNA (611 nucleotides) under uncultured bacterium. RNAcentral describes it as "bacterial SSU rRNA". The stretch from base 1 to 535 matches the Rfam family "Bacterial small subunit ribosomal RNA", at positions 338 to 873 of the family's 1533-position model. The record is from RNAcentral.
CCUACGGGAGGCAGCAGUAAGGAAUAUUGGACAAUGCUCGCAAGAGUGAUCCAGCCAUGCCGCGUGCAGGAAGAAUGCCCUAUGGGUAGUAAACUGCUUUUGAACUAGAGAAAACCCCAGUACGUGUACUGGGCUGAUAGUAUAGUUAGAAUAAGCAUCGGCUAACUUCGUGCCAGCAGCCGCGGUAAGACGAAGGAUGCAAGCGUUAUCCGGAUUCAUUGGGUUUAAAGGGAGCGUAGGUGGACUGAUAAGUCAGUGGUGAAAUCUCCGAGCUUAACUCGGAAAUUGCCAUUGAUACUGUUGGUCUUGAGUACAGUUGCUGUGGGCGGAAUAUGACAUGUAGUGGUGAAAUACAUAGAGAUGUCAUAGAGCACCGAUUGCGAAGGCAGCUCACAAAGCUGUAACUGACACUGAGGCUCGAAAGUGCGGGGAUCAAACAGGAUUAGAUACCCUGGUAGUCCGCACCGUAAACGAUGAUUACUCGCUGCUAGGGGGCAACCUUUAGUGGCUUAGCGAAAGCGANAAGUAAUCCACCUGGGAGUACGCGNGCGAGAGAACGACGAAGAAGUUAGAGGCGNGAGGAGAGCGACGGACGACGACGAGGGAGGAGG